GUUCACUGCCGUACAGGUAGCUUAGAAA
Methylomicrobium album BG8 is the source of this 28-nucleotide non-coding RNA. Lineage: Bacteria; Pseudomonadati; Pseudomonadota; Gammaproteobacteria; Methylococcales; Methylococcaceae. The record is from Rfam.